UGGGGAAUUUUGGACAAUGGGGGAAACCCUGAUCCAGCCAUCCCGCGUGUGCGAUGAAGGCCUUCGGGUUGUAAAGCACUUUUGGCAGGAAAGAAACGUCAUGGGUUAAUACCCCGUGAAACUGACGGUACCUGCAGAAUAAGCACCGGCUAACUACGUGCCAGCAGCCGCGGUAAUACGUAGGGUGCAAGCGUUAAUCGGAAUUACUGGGCGUAAAGCGUGCGCAGGCGGUUCGGAAAGAAAGAUGUGAAAUCCCAGAGCUCAACUUUGGAACUGAAAUUUUAACUACCGGGAUAGAGUGUGUCAGAGGGAGGUGGAAUUCCGCGUGUAGCAGUGAAAUGCGUAGAUAUGCGGAGGAACACCGAUGGCGAAGGCAGCCUCCUGGGAUAACACUGACGCUCAUGCACGAAAGCGUGGGGAGCAAACAGG
RNAcentral lists this ribosomal RNA (429 nucleotides) under Acidobacteriota bacterium. RNAcentral describes it as "Acidobacteria bacterium partial 16S ribosomal RNA". It matches the Rfam family "Bacterial small subunit ribosomal RNA", at positions 355 to 776 of the family's 1533-position model. The record is from RNAcentral. Lineage: Bacteria; Pseudomonadati; Acidobacteriota.